RNAcentral lists this ribosomal RNA (262 nucleotides) under uncultured bacterium. RNAcentral's name for it is "partial 16S ribosomal RNA". It matches the Rfam family "Bacterial small subunit ribosomal RNA", at positions 92 to 354 of the family's 1533-position model. The record is from RNAcentral.
UUAGUGGCGGACGGGUGAGUAACGCGUGGAAAACCUGCCGUAUACUGGGGGAUAACACUUAGAAAUAGGUGCUAAUACCGCAUAAGCGCACAGCUUCGCAUGAAGCGGUGUGAAAAACUCUGGUGGUAUACGAUGGUUCCGCGUCUGAUUAGCUAGUUGGUGGGGUAAUGGUCUACCAAGGCAACGAUCAGUAGCCGGCCUGAGAGGGUGAACGGCCACAUUGGGACUGAGACACGGCCCAAACUCCUACGGAAGGCAGCAG